UUUUAAAUCCCAGAUUUUUCACUUUUUUAUUUUAAUAUUCUAUAAUUUAAAAUAUAUAAAUUUAGUAUCACGUGAUUUUAUUUUUCUUUUUUAGUCAGUCCUUUCAUUGACUUUUCGUUAAACUAUAUACAAAAAAACUACAAAUACUCCAUCUAAUCGAAUAUUCACUUUAAUAUCUUUUAAUUUUAACUUUAUUAUUGAUUUAACGAAAAAAGUUAGUGAAGAAAAUUAACAAAAAUAUAAAAUUAUAAAAUAUAAAAGUAAUAUACUUUAAAUCAUAGAGUACUAAAAUAAAAAAAAAAGUAAGAAAUUAUAUUAGUGGUAUUUAAAAGUUUUUUUUUUUUGGUGGAGCCCCACCACCAAAUAUAUAUAUAUAUAUAUAGAGAGAGAGAGAGGUGAGACAAAGAGAGAGAGAGAGAGAGAGAGAGAGAGAGAGAGAGAGAGAGAGAGAGGUGGUGGCUUGUGUGGGUGUUAUAAUAUUUUUGCUUUUGUAGGUGAGGAGGUGGUUGUUUGGUGGAGAGAGAGAGAGAGAGAAGAGAGAGAGAGAGAGAGAGGGACCAUUUACCUCAUUAAUAGUUAUUUGAAUUGUUUUAUAAUAAAUGAGAAUUUUUGUUGAGAGAGAGAGAGAGAGAGGGACCAUUUACCUCAUUAAUAGUUAUUUGAAUUGUUUUAUAAUAAAUGAGAAUUUUUGUUGGAUUGGAUUUUGUGGUGUUGAACCCACUUGAGUACUUGACCAUCCACCUAUGGACAUUGGGAGGAAUUCUACACUAUCACAUUUACACUACAUCAUUAAUAACAAGUCAAUCAUCUUUCUUCUUUUCAAAUAAAAAUAUAAUAAAAAUAUUUUUUAUAAUCAUAAUGGGACAUAUAUCUCUAAAAAAAAAAUUUUAAUUGAUUUGUUAUGCCACAUCACCAAUAUACCCAUUGCAUUCUAGAAUUUUUCCAACAUUGGAAACAAAUUAAGAUAAAUUUUUUUGUAAAAAAAAGAGUCCUAAUACAACUAAACUGAUUUACAAUUCCUAAAAAACUUAAUUCUUUAAAUAUCAUUAUUAUAUAUCAUUAUCACAUCAGCAGUACAUAAGAAUAUUAUUUUAAAAUUACCAUUAAUAUAUAAUAAAAAUUUUAAAAAUUGAUUUUGUAUCAUGCGAAA
RNAcentral lists this long non-coding RNA (1150 nucleotides) under Ananas comosus (pineapple). RNAcentral describes it as "long non-coding RNA (ACOM_LNC002763)". The record is from RNAcentral. Lineage: Eukaryota; Viridiplantae; Streptophyta; Magnoliopsida; Poales; Bromeliaceae.